This 521-nucleotide ribosomal RNA is filed under the name uncultured bacterium. RNAcentral's name for it is "bacterial SSU rRNA". It matches the Rfam family "Bacterial small subunit ribosomal RNA", at positions 777 to 1297 of the family's 1533-position model. The record is from RNAcentral.
AAUAGAUACCCUGGUAGUCCACGCCGUAAACGUUGGGCGCUAGAUGUGGGGACCAUUCCACGGUUUCCGCGUCGUAGCUAACGCAUUAAGCGCCCCGCCUGGGGAGUACGGCCGCAAGGCUAAAACUCAAAGGAAUUGACGGGGGCCCGCACAAGCGGCGGAGCAUGCGGAUUAAUUCGAUGCAACGCGAAGAACCUUACCAAGGCUUGACAUAUGCGAGAACGCUCUAGAAAUAGAGAACUCUUUGGACACUCGUAUACAGGUGGUGCAUGGUUGUCGUCAGCUCGUGUCGUGAGAUGUUGGGUUAAGUCCCGCAACGAGCGCAACCCUCGUCGCAUGUUGCCAGCACGUAAUGGUGGGAACUCAUGUGAGACUGCCGGGGUCAACUCGGAGGAAGGUGGGGAUGACGUCAAAUCAUCAUGCCCCUUAUGUCUUGGGCUUCACGCAUGCUACAAUGGCCGGUACAAAGGGCUGCGAAACCGCAAGGUGGAGCGAAUCCCAAAAGCCGGUCUCAGUUCGGA